AUGCUGGCAAACCGGAGUUGGGGAAGUGGAGCUUCACGAUUACACACGAGUUCAUUAGAAAUAGCACUUCGUGGCCUGCGCGAGGAGAGCCCUCAGAAGCCGCUCUGGAUGCGCGUUCCUCGGCCAGGAGCCGCCAACCCCGCACCCUGCAGAGCCCCGACGCUCUGCAGAGCAGAGGGAACGGGGCGCUGCUCUCCCGCAGCUGCGGUGGAGUUACCGGAGCUCCGACGGGGAAAUCUUUACGAUUAUUCAGGCGUGGGCCCAAUAUCGGCAGUCACCAUCCUGCUGCUCCCACUGCCCGAACGCACCGGGACGGCUUCCCAGAGGAUAAAUGUCACCGCGAGCUGCAGCAGCAGAAGCCGGGGGCGCGGGCGGCCAGGCUUGAGAACGCACCUGGCAGGAAGAUUUCAGAAACCCAACGGAGGGGCUGCGUUAACAGACGAGCCUGUUUGA
Molecule: long non-coding RNA, 453 nt
Filed under: Meleagris gallopavo (turkey)
Lineage: Eukaryota; Metazoa; Chordata; Aves; Galliformes; Phasianidae
Description: lncRNA (ENSMGAG00000021469.1)
Source: RNAcentral